This 435-nucleotide transfer-messenger RNA is filed under the name Candidatus Woesebacteria bacterium. It matches the Rfam family "transfer-messenger RNA". From Rfam's summary of the family: Bacterial tmRNA, also known as 10Sa RNA or SsrA, is named for its dual tRNA and mRNA-like properties. Its role is to liberate the mRNA from a stalled ribosome. The record is from RNAcentral. Lineage: Bacteria; Candidatus Woeseibacteriota.
GGGGAUGUAUUGCAUUGACGUGAUGUGCUCGUUACCAACUGCAGACCGUCUUUGACCAAAAAGACGUUAAACAGGGUCAAAAACACAAUUGGCAAUCUUUCAGCCAAACGUGUUAAAGACGCCGUCGCAGAUGCAGCUUCACAGUUGCUAGACACUGUUGGUGGUUCAAACUUUAACACCCAAUAUCAAACAGCUCAGCUGUUUGCAUAACGGCAUUCACUCGUUCAGUCUCACUGGCGCUAACGAGUGGGUGGAAACACAGUCAGUGUGACCGAUUGUCCGCUCCUGUCCGGACUUUCAUAAGCCUUUAGACAGGGGUUGCUCACGAACUGGUUUGUCCGUUCACCACCGUGGCAAUAUCAAAAACGUACUAUGUCUGUAGAUGUUGGAACAGUCUCAUUGCGGACAGGAGGUCGCACCUCCUCAUCUCCACAA